GACGAACGCUGGCGGCGUGCUUAACACACGCAAGUCGAACGGUAAGGCCCUUCGGGGUACACGAGUGGCGAACGGGUGAGUAACACGUGGGUGAUCUGCCCUGCACUUCGGGAUAAGCCUGGGAAACUGGGUCUAAUACCGGAUAGGACUCCGGACUGCAUGGUCUGGGGUGGAAAGCUUUUGCGGUGUGGGAUGGGCCCGCGGCCUAUCAGCUUGUUGGUGGGGUGAUGGCCUACCAAGGCGACGACGGGUAGCCGGCCUGAGAGGGUGACCGGCCACACUGGGACUGGGAUACGGCCCAGACUCCUACGGGAGGCAGCAGUGGGGAAUAUUGCACAAUGGGCGCAAGCCUGAUGCAGCGACGCCGCGUGAGGGAUGACGGCCUUCGGGUUGUAAACCUCUUUCAGCAUCGACGAAGCGAAAGUGACGGUAGGUGCAGAAGAAGGACCGGCCAACUACGUGCCAGCCGCCGCGGUAA
RNAcentral lists this ribosomal RNA (478 nucleotides) under uncultured bacterium. Its description in RNAcentral is "partial 16S ribosomal RNA". It matches the Rfam family "Bacterial small subunit ribosomal RNA", at positions 28 to 523 of the family's 1533-position model. The record is from RNAcentral.